RNAcentral lists this ribosomal RNA (845 nucleotides) under Trechispora nivea. RNAcentral's name for it is "partial large subunit ribosomal RNA". It matches the Rfam family "Eukaryotic large subunit ribosomal RNA", at positions 73 to 937 of the family's 3401-position model. Lineage: Eukaryota; Fungi; Basidiomycota; Agaricomycetes; Trechisporales; Hydnodontaceae. The record is from RNAcentral.
GAUUCCCCUAGUAACUGCGAGUGAAGCGGGAAAAGCUCAAAUUUGAAAUCUGGCGGCUCCGUCGCCCGAGUUGUAUUCUGGAGAAGCGUUUUCCGUGCCGGACCGUGUACAAGUCCCUUGGAACAGGGCGUCAUAGAGGGUGAGAAUCCCGUCUUUGACACGGACUCCCGGUGCUAUGUGAUGCGCUCUCGAAGAGUCGAGUUGUUUGGGAAUGCAGCUCAAAAUGGGUGGUAAAUUCCAUCUAAAGCUAAAUAUUGGCGAGAGACCGAUAGCGAACAAGUACCGUGAGGGAAAGAUGAAAAGCACUUUGGAAAGAGAGUAAAACAGUACGUGAAAUUGUUGAAAGGGAAACGCUUGAAGUCAGUCGCGUCUGCCGGAACUCAGCCUUGCUUCUGCUCGGUGCACUUUCCGGUUCGACGGGCCAGCAUCGGUUUUGGGCGGCGGACACUGGCGCGGGGAAGGUGGCAGCUCCGGCUGUGUUAUAGCCCCGCGUCGCAAACGCCGUCCGGGACCGAGGAAUCCGGCGCAAGCCUGGGAUGCUGGCGUAAUGGCUUUAAACGACCCGUCUUGAAACACGGACCAAGGAGUGCUACACGCUCGCGAGUGUUUGGGUGGAAAACCCGGACGCGCAAUGAAAGUGAAAGUCGAUACCCCUCGCGGGGGCACCGACGCCCGAGCCUGAUGUUUUCGGAAGGCCUUGCGGUAGAGCGAGUGCGUUGCGACCCGAAAGAUGGUGAACUAUUCCUGAGGAGGGCGAAGCCAGAGGAAACUCUGGUGGAGGCUCGUAGCGGUUCUGACGUGCAAAUCGAUCGCAGGACUUGGGUAUAGGGGCGAAAGACUAAUCG